RNAcentral lists this ribosomal RNA (577 nucleotides) under Tabellaria sp. RNAcentral describes it as "SSU rRNA". The record is from RNAcentral. Lineage: Eukaryota; Bacillariophyta; Fragilariophyceae; Tabellariales; Tabellariaceae.
UCGGUAAUUCCAGCUCCRAUAGCGUAUAUUAAAGUUGUUGCAGUUAAAAAGCUCGUAGUUGGAUUUGUGGUUGGAGCGACCGGCCCGACACAGUGUGUUGGUGCUUGGUUGUCUCCGUCCAUCCUUGGGUGGAACCUGUGUGGCAUUAAGUUGUCGUGCAGGGGAUGCCCAUCUUUUACUGUGAAAAAAUUAGAGUGUUCAAAGCAGGCUUACGCCGUUGAAUAUAUUAGCAUGGAAUAAUGAGAUAGGACCUGGGUACUAUUUUGUUGGUUUGCGCACCGAGGUAAUGAUUAAUAGGGACAGUUGGGGGUAUUCGUAUUCCAUUGUCAGAGGUGAAAUUCUUGGAUUUUUGGAAGACGAACUACUGCGAAAGCAUUUACCAAGGAUGUUUUCAUUAAUCAAGAACGAAAGUUAGGGGAUCGAAGAUGAUUAGAUACCAUCGUAGUCUUAACCAUAAACUAUGCCGACAAGGGAUUGGCGGUCGUUGUAUUGACCCCGUCAGCACCUUAUGAGAAAUCACAAGUCUUUGGGUUCCGGGGGGAGUAUGGUCGCAAGGCUGAAACUUAAAGAAAUUGAC